AUCUCUUCACCAAAGGUGAUUUCAUUUCUUCAACGUAAAUAAAUAUAUUUUUCUCUCUUUCAGUCGAAUUGAAUAUAAUCAAAUCAGGGAUAUAUCUCUGCUCAGUAAAUCUUCGAUAAUUCAAGUGUUUCAAAUAAAUAUGUUAGCCAAUCAGAUCGAAGAAUUACCAGUCAGUCUCUUUCAAAACAUACCUGUGACGCACUCUUUGGAUUUGUCUAUCAAUAGACUUACUUCCAUACCAGAUAAUGCAUUUUCUCCUUGCAAGGAUUUAACGCAGU
Long non-coding RNA from Orbicella faveolata, 278 nucleotides. The record is from RefSeq and is a predicted model, not a curated record. NCBI's taxonomy places the organism in Eukaryota, Metazoa, Cnidaria, Anthozoa, Scleractinia, Merulinidae.